GUUUUCUUCUUUAGCUAAGCUUAGUACUUAAGCUGCAAAACUGCUGCUUCUCCACCUCUUUUUCUCCGGCGAAACCGAUGUUUUAGGUGGACUCUCUUGGAUAUACUUUUGAUAUUUUUGAAGUCCCUACUUCUUCAUAGCUGCAUUCAGUCGUUCGGCUUUUCCUCGGUGAAUAAGGAGGACAAGGAACAUUUCAGGAACUUAGUGCUUAUACCAUGACCAUAUGUACCAAUAUACAAGAAACAGAAUUAUGUGGUACGAAAGAAGUUUUCUUGUCUGCUAUCCGCUUUGCCACUUCAACCGGUGAUUCUUUCCCUCCAUUUGAAGAUGAUUUAAGAACCUCAGCCCAAGAACAGGUUGAGUUCAUGCUCGAGGAUGAUGAAAAGAUUCCUCUUGUCAUAGCUGAUGAAGAAAUAAAAGUGGAGACUAGAAUUUUGGUGUCUAAAAUAUUUUGUUCUUUUGAAAAUGAACUAUUCUCCUUGAUUUUGGAACCUGACAUUGCGAACAAGGAUAUUGAAAAGAAAGUAAUGCGGAGUCUAUCUGACCUUGAAUGGAUGUGUAACACUCUUUUGAAGAUGGAUCUAAUGAAGGACUUCGUCUCCCACUGGGCUAAUAUAUCGAGCAAUUUAUUGAAGGUCAUCGAAGACAAAAGACUUGAUUCUAUCAUGUGGGGUUUGAAGAUAAAGUUAAUAGAAAUGACAUCAAAAGUGUUCGACGCAGUAGGUUAUGGAACUGUAGUUCUUCCAGCAGAAAGCCGAGUGGAACUGCUCAAGACAUGGCUUCCAUACAUAAGAAAAAUGAAGUUUCUUUCCGAUCAAAUGGGCAAAUCGGAGGCUGCAUUUCCAUACAUGAUGAGCGAAGACCUUUCCCAAUGCAUUGAGGGAGCAAUAGUUUCGUUGGUUUCAGCAUUACCAUCAAAUGAUCAAGCUGACAUUCUAGCAGAUUGGAUAAGUGCUGAGCAAGUUAAAUAUCCGGACCUUAGUGAAGCCUUUGAGAUAUGGUGUUACAGAACCAAGUCUGCAAAAAGAAGGUUGGACGAGGCUUUGACAGAGUCAGCAAUGCCAUUGUCACCCUCUAGCUAAUUUUUGAAGAGGAAACUUCACCUCAUAAAACACCUUUGGCUACUGGUGGCUCUUGUAGUAGAGUGCCCAACAUAUUCCCUGGGCAAAAGAAUCUAGGUGAAGGCCUUGCAUGAAGUAUUUGUCUAUCAUGCACUUCCAAAGAGGGCUUUAUUCUGGAAGAGAAUGCUGGCAUAGAUCACACCAAAGUCGCAUCUAUGCUAUUGUGAUUUAUCAAGAGCCAUGUCCCGUUCAUGAUCUAAGUCAACUAUCAGAUUUUUGUGCUUGAUAACUUUCCCAAGAUUGAGAUUGUUCCACAAAAUAUAUCUAUAAUCCUUUCUAUUUGCGAUUUAGAAGUUGAUGCAAAUUUCUAGAAUAUCACUGAACUAUAUUUAAGCAGAUGAUGAAGAACAACAUGGAUGCGAAGGCUUGAAAUUUAGCAAGACGCUGAGGCAGAGAGCUGAAACUAAGAUUUAUAAGCCUAAAGCAGUGAUAAAAGAUGAUCUUUUUAAGACCUUUAGCCUUGUGACACAGAAACGUGCCACUCCAGGAAGAGAAAGAAAAGACCUUCUGGAGAAAGGAAAAAUUUGGAUGGGCCAAGUGGAGAUGGAUUUCUACAAUUUGGCAAGUCUAUUGAUAGACACUCCGAGAUAGAUGGCCAAAGUAUUCAUGGAGAUCAAGAACCUUUGAACAGAUCCUGCAAUGUUAGAUUUUGAUACUAGGGAUAUUGAGAAUGAUGAUUCAGUUGUUGAAGCUAGUUGUUGAAGCUAUUAAUAACUUUGUUUACGAGAUCCAAUGUGCUGAUAACUUCCCAUGCUGCUGGACUUUUUUUGGAGGGUGCUAACUCAUCAAAAAAGCUUGGUUCAUCAUCCGUGUCUUUCAAGGCUCUCCAGCCAAAAGUUUUCUCAUAUUUCUUCAACUUCCACUCUUGCAAAUGUUGUUUCACAAUUAUCUCAUCUGUUUUUUAUCCAAACUAUGCUGCUUGUAUUUGUGGUGUGUGUCAAAGAAGAUUUGAGAAGAAUUAGAGAUAUAAUAGGUGCAAAAAUAUUCAGUUCUUUCGGGAGAGACAUAACAAGCUUCUCCAGGCAAAAGGUACUCCGUUGACGAUUUUAAGGAUUAAACACAAAAGUUGUAAAACAGUUCAGCCACUCUUUCAGGAAAAACAUUGCACGAAGCGGAAAUAUUCAAUGUGUUCUACGAAAGUUAUAUAUUUCCUUUAAUGUAACUUUGUAAAGGUUUAAAGGACUUCCUGAGGAAGGAUGCCAUCUGUUCAAUUCUUCAAGAAACAAGCCUUCAAGUACCUAGCAGUAAAAGUGGACCCGCACUGAAAGUAGUAAAAGUCCAGAGUUGAUGUGAAACAAGAUUUCCACCCAUAACAGUUGAAGAAAUAGGGGUCAAGCUUUUGCCUGGAGAGGCUUGUUAUGCCUUCCCUAUAAGGACGAUUGAACGUUUUUGCACUUAUUAUGUCUCUAAUUCUUCUCAAAUCUUCUGCUAUAUACUUGCAAUGGAUAUUAGUGGCAUACUUUGGAUAAGAAGCAGAGGAGAGGACAGAGAAAUAGAAUUUGCAAGAUUGGCAAUUAAAAAAAUAUGGUAAAACUAUUGUCUGGAGAGCCUUGGAAGGCACUGAUGAUGCUUUGAGGAGUUUACAUCCUCUGAAGAUGUCCAGCCGCACAUGAAGUUAUCAUUAGUUUGGAUCUCGUAAAUGAGGUUAUUAACAACUUCAACAACUGGAUCAUCAUUCUCAACAUUCCUAGAAUCAAAGCCUAUUCUUGAUCUUUCUAAGGUUCUUGAUCCCAAACUUUUCCAUCCAUCUCGGAGUGUCUACUAAUAGACUUGCCAGCUUGUAGAAAUUCAUUUCCAGUUGGAUCAUCCAAAAUAUUCUUUUCUUUUGAGAGGUCUUUCUUGCUCUUUCUGGAGUUGCACAUUUUAGUUUCCAGGGCCAAAGGUCUUAACAAGCUUAUCGACAAUCAGUACUUCAAGCUUAUAAAAGAUUAGUUUCAAUUCUCUGCUUCAGCGUCUUGUUAUAUUUUAAACCUUCAUAUCCAUGUUAUAUUAGGGCCAAAGGUCUUAACAAGCUUAUCGACAAACAGCUUUUUCAGAGGUGCAUGACAACAUAAAAUACUGCUUGCAUAGAUUUUGCCUGAAUUUUUCUGCCUUUAAAUGUAAAAGUGGAUGUUGUUAUUUGAGUUCAAAGACAUUUAGUAUUGAAAAGUUGACAUAUUUUUCUGUUUCUUUUUGUAUCUUGACUAGCAAUUGUAAAACAAGCACAAUUUUCUGAAUUUAAUCAAAUGUUACCUGA
Molecule: non-coding RNA, 3357 nt
Organism: Nicotiana tabacum (common tobacco)
Lineage: Eukaryota; Viridiplantae; Streptophyta; Magnoliopsida; Solanales; Solanaceae
Source: RefSeq, a predicted model, not a curated record